This 26-nucleotide non-coding RNA is filed under the name Mus musculus (house mouse). The record is from RNAcentral. Lineage: Eukaryota; Metazoa; Chordata; Mammalia; Rodentia; Muridae.
UGGAAAUUUAAUAUAGAGAACAGUCU